AUUUAAUAAAUUACAGCGUACUAUAUAGAAAAGAAACAUGGGUGUAUACAAUAUGUGCAAGCAUAUGAUUGGAUAAAUAGAAGUAGCAUACGACAUUACAUGCAGGAUAUUUUAGUAACACACAGAAGUAACAGUUUUGAUCUGGUAUGUAAUUGUCCUUGAAGAUAAGACACACACAAGCCUUAUAUUAUAUGAACAGACAAAGGCAUCUUGUAGAGAGUGCGUACGUGUCUAUUCAAACACAUAACAAUUCAUAUAGCAUGUUUAACCCUUCAAUCCCCUCUUAGAAUCAUGAUUGUUAUAUAACAUGAUUCUUGAGUGAGGCUCCUUUCUUGUUCCUCCAGUUUUUGAGAUAUUGGACAUAAUCGUCGGGUCCCUUACUAUCAGAGGAGGUGACAGGACUGGUGGUUAUAUCAUAGUACAUCAGGGCCUUAUCAAUGCCUUUGGAGGGGGUACAAAUGAAAAUGCUGUCUGAUACCUCCGCCUUUGAAGAACUUCCCCACGCUGUGAUCUCUGAGAGGCGAUGCACAGUAUCCACUACUCCUUUAGCCCAUGUACAGUUUGCAUGUACCCCCCAGUACUGUGCUUUCCCACUAAAUGGAAAUGAGCUUUGUAUCUGGAAGAUGGGCACCCUCCAAGAACAGCCUCUAACUUUGAAAGGACAUCACCAGCCAAUAACUGCAGUAGCAAUUAAGCAGGAUGGGGGAGAGUGGCUAGUCGUCUCUGCAUCACAAGACUAUGUCAUUAUGUGGAAUCUGAAUGAAUGCACGCGAUCAUCCAUGCAAGGACUUCUGCCUCGAGGACUUGUCAUUGGGACUCUCUUAGGCACUGUUCAACAUUUAGGAUUCCAUCCUGAGAAAAAGUUGGUGACAGCAUGUGUAAUGAGCAGAGUAUUUAUUCUCAAUGCUGAGAGAGAAGAAAUUCUUGCAGACUUAGAAGCACACCUGGGUCCGGUGACUGCAGCUGAGUUUUGGCGCAAUAACCUUCUCGUGUGUAUCUCUGAGGAUAGGACAUUUUCGUUAUGGGAUUAUUGCACAGGACACCUGGUUUACCGAUCUGGAAUAAUAUCAGCAUUCCCUCUGCUGAAGAUGUAUAUCGAUGCAGAAAAUGAGCAGCUGGUUACCGGUUGUGCCGAUGGGCUGAUAAGGUCUUUCAGCUUAGCAAAGGGACACAAUUUUCGAGGUCUCUGUCACAUCAACCUUCAAAAGGAGAAACUCAGAUUCUGCAGGAUUAUUGGAAAAUGCAGGCCCUCUGGUAUAACAGAAAAAAUGAAGUUGCCUGCCGUGGAUAAGAGUCCUUGUGAUGCAGUAGAUUCUGGAUUUCCUAUACUUCAUAUUCAGAAAUAUGAACAGGACAAGCAGGAAUAUGACAUGCCACUCAUGGGAAAUCCUGUACGUCUCUGGGUAGGCAUUUCUACGGAUUUGAUUUUAAUCAAUAUGGCUACGUCGGAAGUUGAAGCUGUUGUCCAUUUUGAAGAUUUUGAAGCCCUCAGUAUUCAUAUGGCUGGAUCAGUCUCAAUUUCUGACAAUUCUGAAAAUAAGGUUUUCUGUUUGAUUGCUUCUGUGUUUGGAAACCAGAUCUCACUUCUAGAGUUACAUACAUGUUCUUUGUGGCAAAUCCAGCAGUGUGCACAGCAGACUUUUGGAUCAAGCUCAAACUUGUCCAUUGUAUCCAGUGAUCCUCUGCUCUCAACGUCUCCCUUAUGUUGUGACCUUUCCACAAAGCCUGCCAAAUUAAAGACAAAUGUGGUACAGAUGAGAGUAAAGGACCAACCACUUGUUUUCAACUCUAAAAUCAAGUCAUCUGGUUAUACUACAGCACCAAGAAUGAAAAUGUUUUCUCCAAAAACCAAUAUAAAGACCAGUCAGCUUUCGAAAACAAAGACUGAAAUGACAAGUGGAGUAAGAAAAGAAUAUCCACCGAAUGCCCCAGCACCCAACAGUCUGCAUAAACAGAUAGCUUUGUCUAACAAACCAACAUCUGCCUGUGGCAUUUAUUAUUCAGGAGAUGGGAUGAAGCUCGCAUGUGGAUUAUCUGACAAGUCAUUAUUGGUAUUUAGUUCCACAUUAAAUGGGGAGCCAGCUGUUUUUACAGGCCACAAUGGGGCAAUUAAUGGCUUGGGCUGGAGUUACGACAGAAAUUGGUUGGUUUCUACCGCUGAUGACAGAGCAAUGAGGAUUUGGAAUGUGAAAAAUGGAGUUUGUGCGCUGGUUCUGGGAAAGGAAGCAUUCUCGAGGCCUGUUCGUUUUCCUCAGUUUUAUUAUUUGGAUAAAUUUAUUUUGUUGUCAUCUGGAGCAGAGAUUCAGGUUAUGAGAUAUUAUCUGGAUGACUGCAAGGAUGACGUAAAAAGGUAUAAACAAAAAAGCAUAUGUAAACCAGUACAGAAGUUGCAGAUGGACUCAGCAAUGGAGAUUACUGGUCUGUCAGCUGUGAAUGAUUUUUAUUCCUAUAUUGUACUUGCAGCAGGAAGUAACCGUGCUGUUGAGGUUUUUGAUCUUAAUGUAGGCUGUAGGGUAGCAGCAAUUCCAGAUGUCCACCCAAGAGCAGCCCACCAAAUCUGCCAAAAUAAGGGCUCUGCAUUUAGCACUCAGACAGCUGAAGCGUACAAUCUCUUUGUGACCACGGCCAUUGGUGAUAGCCUAAAAUUAUGGGAUAUUAGGAUUUUACGGUGUGUUCGUCGUUUUGAAGGUCAUAUAAAUCGUUACCAACCAUGUGGCGUUGCAAUCAGUCCUUGUGGGAGAUUCAUUGCUUGUGGAUCUGAAGAUAGAUGUGCAUAUAUUUAUGAAACACGUUCCAGUACAUAUCUGCAAAAGCUCACAAAACACUCAGAAUCUGUCAUCAAUGUGGCAUUUAAUCCAUCUUCCAUACAGGCAGCACCCCUGAUGUCUUAAGAGAAUCAUAUCAGGACUACACAUUCAGAGUACCUAUACAAUUUGAACUGGUGCAGAAGUUCUCUUCCUUUUGUGCUUCUCAACUAAAAUAUUAACCACUUGUACAUUGGAUGGAAAUCUUCAGAUGUUUGUUCCUUGAAUGGAAAGAUCACUGGCUCAGAUGGGUUUAUAAGCUCAAAAGACUAGUUCCCUAACAUCUCUGUAAAACUGUUAAUAUUGUAAUAAAAAUAUGAACUAUUUGAAAUCUCAA
Pseudophryne corroboree (corroboree frog) is the source of this 3141-nucleotide RNA transcript. It is a transcript of the gene named WD repeat domain 27, with no coding region annotated. The record is from RefSeq and is a predicted model, not a curated record. The transcript has 26 exons. Lineage: Eukaryota; Metazoa; Chordata; Amphibia; Anura; Myobatrachidae.